RNAcentral lists this unclassified non-coding RNA (230 nucleotides) under plant metagenome. RNAcentral describes it as "partial contains small subunit ribosomal RNA, internal transcribed spacer 1, and 5.8S ribosomal RNA". The record is from RNAcentral.
UCUCCGUAGGUGAACCUGCGGAGGGAUCAUUACAGAGUUCAUGCCCUCCGGGUAGCUCUCCCACCCAUUGCUAUAUCUACUCUCGUUGCUUUGGCGGGCCGCUGGGCCCUGCCCGGCCGCCGGCCCCGGCUGGCGCGUGCCCGCCAGAGACCUCACAAACUCUGAAUGUUAGUGUCGUCCGAGUAACUAUACAAUCGUUAAAACUUUCAACAACGGAUCUCUUGGUUCUG